RNAcentral lists this ribosomal RNA (427 nucleotides) under uncultured Pseudomonas sp. RNAcentral describes it as "bacterial SSU rRNA". It matches the Rfam family "Bacterial small subunit ribosomal RNA", at positions 355 to 774 of the family's 1533-position model. The record is from RNAcentral. Lineage: Bacteria; Pseudomonadati; Pseudomonadota; Gammaproteobacteria; Pseudomonadales; Pseudomonadaceae.
UGGGGAAUAUUGGACAAUGGGCGAAAGCCUGAUCCAGCCAUGCCGCGUGUGUGAAGAAGGUCUUCGGAUUGUAAAGCACUUUAAGUUGGGAGGAAGGGCAGUAAGCGAAUACCUUGCUGUUUUGACGUUACCGACAGAAUAAGCACCGGCUAACUCUGUGCCAGCAGCCGCGGUAAUACAGAGGGUGCAAGCGUUAAUCGGAAUUACUGGGCGUAAAGCGCGCGUAGGUGGUUUGUUAAGUUGGAUGUGAAAGCCCCGGGCUCAACCUGGGAACUGCAUUCAAAACUGACAAGCUAGAGUAUGGUAGAGGGUGGUGGAAUUUCCUGUGUAGCGGUGAAAUGCGUAGAUAUAGGAAGGAACACCAGUGGCGAAGGCGACUGACUGGACAAGUAUUGACGCUGAGGUGCGAAAGCGUGGGGAGCAAACA